Molecule: ribosomal RNA, 465 nt
Filed under: uncultured bacterium
Lineage: Bacteria
Description: partial 16S ribosomal RNA
Rfam family: Bacterial small subunit ribosomal RNA
Source: RNAcentral
GAUGAACGCUGGCGGCGUGCUUAACACAUGCAAGUCGAACGGUGAAGCCAAGCUUGCUUGGUGGAUCAGUGGCGAACGGGUGAGUAACACGUGAGCAACCUGCCCUGGACUCUGGGAUAAGCGCUGGAAACGGCGUCUAAUACUGGAUAUGAGCCUCUUCCGCAUGGUGGGGGUUGGAAAGAUUUUUUGGUCUGGGAUGGGCUCGCGGCCUAUCAGCUUGUUGGUGAGGUAAUGGCUCACCAAGGCGUCGACGGGUAGCCGGCCUGAGAGGGUGACCGGCCACACUGGGACGGAGACACGGCCCAGACUCCUACGGGAGGCAGCAGUGGGGAAUAUUGCACAAUGGGCGAAGGCCUGAUGCAGCAACGCCGCGUGAGGGAUGACGGCCUUCGGGUGGUAAACCUCUUUUAGCAGGGAAGAAGCGAAAGUGACGGAACCGGCAGAAAAAGCGCCGGCUAACUACGU